RNAcentral lists this long non-coding RNA (2116 nucleotides) under Selaginella moellendorffii. Its description in RNAcentral is "long non-coding RNA (SMOE_LNC000351)". Lineage: Eukaryota; Viridiplantae; Streptophyta; Lycopodiopsida; Selaginellales; Selaginellaceae. The record is from RNAcentral.
GGAUCCACAGCUGCCGCUUAACAGCGCCGGAGCUUAUCUCGGUCUCACAAACGCCUCCCUGGAUGGAGACUCCAGGAACCAUUUCCUGGCCGUGGAGUUCGACACCUUUCAGGACAGCAGCGCUGGAGAUCCCGCACGCGACCAUAUUGGAGUGAACAUAAAUGGCAUCCGGUCAGUCGAUGUCUUCAAACUGGAAGGUGAACUCACAAACCUUCUUCGUAGCAAUUCCACGCUCACUGCUUGGGUUGAGUAUGAAAGCUCGCAGCAGCUGCUUGAAAUCAGAGUCAGCACUCUGUCUCAGAGACCACGUCUUCCCCUCCUGAAAUACCAGGUAGAACUCGCAGGAAUUGUCCAAGAAAAAAUGUACGUCGGCUUCUCUGCAGCCACAAGCCUCAAUUACGAGCUUCACAAGAUCCUGACAUGGAAAUUCUCGACUUACAUAAACAGCAGCGCAACCAACGGCAGCACGGAUCCAAAUUCUGCUUAUCUGCCGGAGAACAAAUCGACAGGAUGCAACAAGUGGAUCUGCAAGAAAAUGGCCAUCAUCCUUUUACCAUCCAUAGGUCUGCUUUUCCUCGCUACGGUAGUGCUGCUCUUUUGUUUCUGGAUAUCAAACGGUAAGCCGAGUAAGAACUUCACAAGCUUGCCGUCAACAGUACAGUACUUCACCUUGAAGCAGCUGAGUGCAGCUACAAGAAGCUUCAGCAGGAAAGAAAUGAUCGGAAGCGGUGGCUUCGGCAAAGUCUACAAAGGUAUUCUUCCGAAAGAUGGCACUCUCGUUGCGGUGAAACUGCUCUCGGAGGCUUCGCUGCAGAGCGAGAGGCAAUUCCUAGCAGAAUUAUCUGUGAUCGGAAGGCUGCAACACAGAAACCUGGUGAGCCUCAAAGGGUGGUGUCAUGACAAGGGGAAGCUCUUACUUGUUUACGAGUUCAUGCCGAAUGGAAGCCUCGACAAGCACCUGUUUUCAGCCGACAUAACUCUUCUUUGGCAGCAGCGUUUCCACAUUCUCAAAGGCGUUGGUGAAGCUCUCACUUUCCUACACGAUGGAUGGGAGCAACGAGUGAUUCACAGGGACGUCAAAGCCGCAAACGUGCUCUUGGACAGCAAGUUCACGGCAAGGCUGGGGGACUUCGGUCUGGCUCGGCUCAUGGAACACAGCAGAGGUCCGCAAACAAUGACAAAGGCUGGAACGACAGGCUACAUAGCUCCGGAGCUGGCUUACACCGGGAGAGCCACCGAGAAGUCAGAUGUGUACAGUUUCGGAAUUCUUGCAUUGGAAGUGGUGUCUGGGCGACGAGCACUCGACUUAGACUUUGAGUUCGACAAAGAAGGAGUCUUGCUGCUUGACUGGAUAUGGCAAAUGCACGAGAGGGGGAGACUGAUGGAGGUGGUGGACGCGAAGCUACAGGAUGACUUCGACGUAGAACAGGUGACCGUGGUGCUUUACAUGGCUUUGCAGUGCUGCCAUCCGGAUGCAAACGACAGACCGACCAUGCGCAAGUGUUGCCAAAUGCUUACCGGCGAUGCUGCCCCUCUAACUCCUCACGCCUCAAGGCCUAUGACUCUGUAUUACUAUCCGGACACGCCAGUAAUCCCUUCCAGCUGCUCAACCUCAGAGUACCCGUUCAGCUCCUCACAACAGCAACCCCUGUAAAAACUCGAUCAAGCAAGCUGUCAAAACGAAAGAUAUCAAAGAAGUUACCUUGUAGAGAGAGCCAGUGAUGAUAAGUCCAAAGCUAAGUCACAAAUACAAAAGCAGCAAUAGAAAAAACAUCGACCAAUGAUUACGUACCAAAAACAUCUGAUUUAUAUAGGGUGUUUUAGAGCAUUUCUGACCAUUGCUCUUUCUCCGAGAAGAGGGAUGAGGAAGGAUACUUUGCUGUUCGCCGCAUUAGCCAUUAUCUCAGUGAGAUGCUCGCUUGCAGGUGAAGCGAUUAGUUUCGAUCUGCGACCAUCAUUCAAACAGAGUCAAGCUCUUCUUAUGCAAGGACAAGCUAGAGCCACAAAUGAAAGUUUGGAGCUUACCGGAGCGUUCGAUUCCUCCAUCAUAAACGCUGGCCGGGUCUUCUAUGCUUUGCCUAUCAGGUUCGUCCACCAGUCUGGAAAAAACAUCCGG